GCGCAGCAGGCGAGAAUAGUCUACAAUGGACGAAAGUCUGAUAGUGCGACGCCGUGUGUGCGAUUAAUUCCUUCGGGAUGUAAAGCACUUUUCUAUGAGAUAAAAGCUCUUUAGGUUAAUAGCUUAUUGAGACGGAUAUUAUUAUAGGAAUAAGCUCCGGCUAACUCCGUGCCAGCAGCCGCGGUAAUACGGAAGGAGCGAGCGUUGUCCGGAUUUACUAGGCGUAAAGGGCUAGUAGGCGACUAAUUAAGUUAUAUGUUAAAUCCCACGGCUCAACUGUGGUCCUGCAUGUAAUACUGGUUAGAUAGAGUACUGUAGAGGAAGGCAGAAUUCCUGGAGUAGCGGUGGAAUGCGCAGAUAUCAGGAAGAAUACCAAAAGCGAAGGCAGCCUUCUGGGCAGUUACUGACGCUGAAUAGCGAAGGUGUGGGUAGCGAACAGGGAUUAGAUACCCGCGUAGU
RNAcentral lists this ribosomal RNA (459 nucleotides) under uncultured microorganism. RNAcentral's name for it is "bacterial SSU rRNA". It matches the Rfam family "Bacterial small subunit ribosomal RNA", at positions 346 to 794 of the family's 1533-position model. The record is from RNAcentral.